Molecule: non-coding RNA, 73 nt
Organism: Stegodyphus mimosarum
Lineage: Eukaryota; Metazoa; Arthropoda; Arachnida; Araneae; Eresidae
Source: Rfam
GCCUUCGUGGUGUAACGGUCAGCAGACUCGGCUCGUAUUCAAGAUGUCCGAGGUUCGAGUCCCGGCGAGGGCA